AGAAACUUAGGCUAAACCAAAAACCACACGCCUUCAAAGCGUGAAAUAUGUACCACACAUAGUUUCUG
RNAcentral lists this transfer RNA (68 nucleotides) under Sphaerodactylus levinsi (Desecheo gecko). Its description in RNAcentral is "tRNA-Trp". Lineage: Eukaryota; Metazoa; Chordata; Lepidosauria; Squamata; Sphaerodactylidae. RNAcentral also lists the same sequence under 1 other name. The record is from RNAcentral.